Molecule: ribosomal RNA, 461 nt
Filed under: earthworm burrow bacterium B36D1
Lineage: Bacteria
Description: bacterial SSU rRNA
Rfam family: Bacterial small subunit ribosomal RNA
Source: RNAcentral
CCUAACACAUGCAAGUCGAGCGAAUGGAUUAAGAGCUUGCUCUUAUGAAGUUAGCGGCGGACGGGUGAGUAACACGUGGGUAACCUGCCCAUAAGACUGGGAUAACUCCGGGAAACCGGGGCUAAUACCGGAUAACAUUUUGAACCGCAUGGUUCGAAAUUGAAAGGCGGCUUCGGCUGUCACUUAUGGAUGGACCCGCGUCGCAUUAGCUAGUUGGUGAGGUAACGGCUCACCAAGGCAACGAUGCGUAGCCGACCUGAGAGGGUGAUCGGCCACACUGGGACUGAGACACGGCCCAGACUCCUACGGGAGGCAGCAGUAGGGAAUCUUCCGCAAUGGACGAAAGUCUGACGGAGCAACGCCGCGUGAGUGAUGAAGGCUUUCGGGUCGUAAAACUCUGUUGUUAGGGAAGAACAAGUGCUAGUUGAAUAAGCUGGCACCUUGACGGUACCUAACCAGAA